Molecule: ribosomal RNA, 528 nt
Filed under: uncultured Hyphomicrobiaceae bacterium
Lineage: Bacteria; Pseudomonadati; Pseudomonadota; Alphaproteobacteria; Hyphomicrobiales; Hyphomicrobiaceae
Description: bacterial SSU rRNA
Rfam family: Bacterial small subunit ribosomal RNA
Source: RNAcentral
GAGUUUGAUCCUGGCUCAGAACGAACGCUGGCGGCAGGCUUAACACAUGCAAGUCGAACGCCCUCUUCGGAGGGAGUGGCAGACGGGUGAGUAACGCGUGGGAACCUACCCAGUAGUACGGAAUAACUCAGGGAAACUUGUGCUAAUACCGUAUACGCCCUACGGGGGAAAGAUUUAUCGCUAUUGGAUGGGCCCGCGUUGGAUUAGUUUGUUGGUGAGGUAACGGCUCACCAAGGCUACGAUCCAUAGCUGGUCUGAGAGGAUGAUCAGCCACACUGGGACUGAGACACGGCCCAGACUCCUACGGGAGGCAGCAGUGGGGAAUAUUGGACAAUGGGGGAAACCCUGAUCCAGCCAUGCCGCGUGAGUGAAGAAGGCCCUAGGGUUGUAAAGCUCUUUCGCUAGGGAAGAUAAUGACGGUACCUAGUAAAGAAGCCCCGGCUAACUUCGUGCCAGCAGCCGCGGUAAUACGAAGGGGGCUAGCGUUGUUCGGAAUUACUGGGCGUAAAGCGCACGUAGCGGAUUGUU